CCUGUAGCUCUGUGUUUACUGAGAGGAUAGAGUGGAGCGCAAAGGAUGCUUCAGGCUCACUUUAUUGAUCUCCAUCAGAUGGCAGCAGUUCCUCUUCUCUGUCAGAGCAUGCUUUGGGUCCCAGAUGAUGCUGUCGGAGCCUCUCAGGUUAUUAUGCGAUGUGAGUCAGGAAGUCUCUGACAGGGUGACCAACAAUCUGUGAGCAGAGUUUUAACCGGUGGAGCAGUUUAGAUUUGAAAGCAGUUGACAAACACUUGUACCAGGAAGUGUUGCAGUACUGUCAUGUCGAUGUGACCUGAAAUAUGCCCCCCCCCCUGGAUUAUCCCCCCCAGGCGCACGGACGUGGUGACGGUGACGCCCUGGCUGGCGCCGGUGGUUUGGGACGGGACCUUUGACCCGGUCCUGCUGGACGGCCUCUACAGACCCAGGAACAUCAGCGUGGCCGUCACCGUGUUCGCCGUGGGAAAGUACAUCCGUUUCCUGGAGGCCUUCCUGCAGACGGCGGAGCAGCACUUCUUCGUUGGUUUCAAUGUUCACGUUUACAUUUUCACCGACCAGCCGAACGAGGUCCCCCGGGUCCACAUGGCCCCCGGCAGACAGGUAACAGCUGGUCAAUAAACCUGUAGACUGAUCCCAGACCAGAGUCCUGCAGUUAGCUUCAGAGACACAAACCCAGAGUCCUGCAGUUAGCUUCAGACACAAACCCAGAGACCUGUAGCUAGCUUCAGAGACACAAACCCAGAGACCUGCAGCUAGCUUCAGAGACACAAACCCAGAGACCUGUAGCUAGCUUCAGAGACACAAACCCAGAGACCUGUAGCUAGCUUCAGAGACACAAACCCAGAGACCUGUAGCUAGCUUCAGAGACACAAACCCAGAGACCUGUAGCUAGCUUCAGAGACACAAACCCAGAGUCCUGUAGCUAGCUUCAGAGACACAAACCCAGAGACCUGUAGCUAGCUUCAGAGACACAAACCCAGAGACCUGUAGCUAGCUUCAGAGACACAAACCCAGAGUCCUGUAGCUAGCUUCAGACACAAACCCAGAGUCCUGUAGCUAGCUUCAGACACAAACCCAGAGUCCUGCAGUUAGCUUCAGAGACACAAACCCAGAGACCUGUAGCUAGCUUCAGAGACA
This is a long non-coding RNA of Notothenia coriiceps (black rockcod), 1137 nucleotides long. RefSeq lists it as uncharacterized. Lineage: Eukaryota; Metazoa; Chordata; Actinopteri; Perciformes; Nototheniidae. The record is from RefSeq and is a predicted model, not a curated record. The transcript is spliced from 2 exons.